UGCAAGUCGAGGGGUAACGUGAGUGCUUGCACUUGACGACGACCGGCGCACGGGUGCGUAACGCGUAUACAAUCUACCUUUUGCUGAGGGAUAGCCCAGAGAAAUUUGGAUUAAUACCUCAUGGUAUGUAUAAAUGGCAUCAUUUAUAUAUUAAAGGUUACGGCAAAAGAUGAGUAUGCGUUCUAUUAGCUAGAUGGUAAGGUAACGGCUUACCAUGGCAACGAUAGAUAGGGGCCCUGAGAGGGGGAUCCCCCACACUGGUACUGAGACACGGACCAGACUCCUACGGGAGGCAGCAGUGAGGAAUAUUGGACAAUGGGCGAGAGCCUGAUCCAGCCAUGCCGCGUGCAGGAAGACUGCCCUAUGGGUUGUAAACUGCUUUUAUACAGGAAGAAACACUCCCUCGUGAGGGAGCUUGACGGUACUGUAAGAAUAAGGAUCGGCUAACUCCGUGCCAGCAGCCGCGGUAAUACGGAGGAUCCAAGCGUUAUCCGGAAUCAUUGGGUUUAAAGGGUCCGUAGGUGGAUAAUUAAGUCAGAGGUGAAAUCCUGCAGCUCAACUGUAGAAUUGCCUUUGAUACUGGUUAUCUUGAAUUAUUAUGAAGUAGUUAGAAUAUGUAGUGUAGCGGUGAAAUGCAUAGAUAUUACAUAGAAUACCGAUUGCGAAGGCAGAUUACUAAUAAUAUAUUGACACUGAUGGACGAAAGCGUGGGGAGCGAACAGGAUUAGAUACCCUGGUAGUCCACGCCGUAAACGAUGGUCACUAGCUGUUUGGACUUCGGUCUGAGUGGCUAAGCGAAAGUGAUAAGUGACCCACCUGGGGAGUACGUUCGCAAGAAUGAAACUCAAAGGAAUUGACGGGGGCCCGCACAAGCGGUGGAGCAUG
Molecule: ribosomal RNA, 885 nt
Filed under: uncultured bacterium
Lineage: Bacteria
Description: bacterial SSU rRNA
Rfam family: Bacterial small subunit ribosomal RNA
Source: RNAcentral